This 460-nucleotide ribosomal RNA is filed under the name uncultured bacterium. RNAcentral describes it as "partial 16S ribosomal RNA". It matches the Rfam family "Bacterial small subunit ribosomal RNA", at positions 338 to 795 of the family's 1533-position model. The record is from RNAcentral.
CCUACGGGGGGCUGCAGUGAGGAAUUUUGGUCAAUGGACGAGAGUCUGAACCAGCCAAGUAGCGUGAAGGAUGACUGCCCUAUGGGUUGUAAACUUCUUUUAUAAAGGAAUAAAACGAGGCACGUGUGCCUUUUUGCAUGUACUUUAUGAAUAAGGAUCGGCUAACUCCGUGCCAGCAGCCGCGGUAAUACGGAGGAUCCGAGCGUUAUCCGGAUUUAUUGGGUUUAAAGGGAGCGUAGAUGGGGUGUUAAGUCAGUUGUGAAAGUUUGCGGCUCAACCUUAAAAUUGCAAUUGAUACUGGCAGUCUUGAGUACAGUUGAGGUAAGCGGAAUUCGGGGUGUAGCGGUGAAAUGCUUAGAUAUCACGAAGAACCCCGAGUGCGAAGGCAGCUUACUAAACUGUGACUGACAUUGAUGCUCGAAAGUGUGGGUAGCAAACAGGAUUAGAUACCCUAGUAGUC